CCUACGGGGGGCUGCAGUCGAGAAUUUUUGGCAAUGGGCGAAAGCCUGACCAAGCGAUGCCGCGUGCGGGAUGAAGGCCUUCGGGUUGUAAACCGCUGUCAGUGGGGAGGAAAGCUUUGUGAAGAGCAAGGCUUGACCUAUCCGCAGAGGAAGUGUGGGCUAAGUUCGUGCCAGCAGCCGCGGUAAGACGAACCACACAAAGGAUAUACGGAAUUUCUGGGCUUAAAGGGUGCGGCAGUUGCGCGGUAAGGAAAUACCUCGGCUCAACCGAGGAACUGCGCCCAGAACUACUGUGCUUGAGGAAGAUAGAGGUAAGCGGAACUUACGGUGGAGCGGUGAAAUGCGUUGAUAUCGUAAGGAACACCUGUGGCGAAAGCGGCUUACUGGGUCUUUUCUGACGCUGAUGCACGAAAGCUAGGGGAGCAAACGGGAUUAGAUACCCCAGUAGUC
Molecule: ribosomal RNA, 450 nt
Filed under: uncultured bacterium
Lineage: Bacteria
Description: partial 16S ribosomal RNA
Rfam family: Bacterial small subunit ribosomal RNA
Source: RNAcentral